UUAGGGAUAAGCUAAUAAAGCUAAAGGGCUCAUAACUCUUUGAUAGAACGAUUUCUUCCCUAAA
RNAcentral lists this transfer RNA (64 nucleotides) under Tigriopus kingsejongensis. Its description in RNAcentral is "tRNA-Met". The record is from RNAcentral. Lineage: Eukaryota; Metazoa; Arthropoda; Copepoda; Harpacticoida; Harpacticidae.